AUACUGCACCAAAAAAAAAAUGGUUUGGCCUUUUUUCCUUCCUUUCUCCUUUCCUCUGUCCUUCUUUCUCUCUCUCUCUGUCUCUUUCUUUGUCUUUCUCCCUUCCUUCCUUCCUUCCUUCCUUCCUUCCUUCCUUCCUUCCUUCCUUCCUUCCUUCCUUCCUUCCUUCCUUCCUUCCUUCCUUCCUUCCUUCCUUCCUUCCUUCCUUCCUUCCUUCCUUCCUUCCUUCCUUCCUCUCUUUUUUUCCUUCCUUCCCUCCCUGCCUCCUUCCCUCCAUUCCUUCCUUCCUUCCUUCCUUCCUUCCUUCCUUCCUUCCUUCCUUCCUUCCUUCCUUCCUUCCUUCCUUCCUUCCUUCCUUCCUUCCUUCCUUCCUUCCUUCCUUCCUUCCUUCCUUCCUUUUUUCUUAUUCAUUCCUUCCCUCUCUCCUCAGAUUUCAAUCUCUUCCUUUAUAGGAUUCAUGAAUGAUGUAUUUUGGAGAACAAAACUAAACACAAACUUUAUCAAGAUGUACCCGUUUAGAUCAUUUGGUGGUCAGUUUUUGUAGUCCUCAUACACAGAAUUCCUAAGAAAGGCAACGGGAACAUAUCAGUGAUUCUUUUCAAUCUAGACCCAUAGUCAACAUGCUUGGUAUUUUAUAUUUUUAUAUUUUAUCUUUUAGCAGAGAUAGGACAGACUAUAAGAGAAACCAUGUCCUUUGGAUUGAGCUCUUACAUGAGUUAUAUUUUUUUUUUUUCUGAUCAAUGAAGACUUCAAUCCAGAGAACAUUCCUGGCAGUGUUAUCCUUUGCUAUGAACUAUUAAAGCUGACACUUGUACCUAUUCUACAUACGCCUUACUAGUCAGUAAGCUAUGUGCCUUUCACCAUCAUUUUCUCUGCACUUAGGAAUUAAGGUAAGUCUGAGUCUCCAUGAUGUCUGCUCCAUAAGUCCUCUAUGUCACCAUGGAAAUGAAUAACUUUGAACUGAAAAUGGUUUUCAUCUAACAAGGUUUCUUUGUGUAUAACAUUAAGAAUAAUUUAAAAAAACUGUUUCUCCCCCAUGAAGAAAAUGCACAAUAAUCUGUAGUUGACUUGCUUGUUGGUUUUCCAGCAUCCAAAUGACAAACAAGAUGAAGCCAAUGCCAGGCAAACAUCACAAUGAAGCUAAGAAGUUCAAGAAGAUACAACAUAGUUAGUUACCACUAUUGAUGAUUAAUUUUUCCAAAACACAUUAAAACAUUUUUUCUGAUAUAUUUAUAAAUGAAAUCCUUGUGUCAUUGCAUGUGUGCUUGGCUGAAAAACUUCCAGAGAAAUCAAUAACAAGAGGUCAAUUACAAUGAAAACCUGCUCAAAAAGGGAUUUAAGACAUUUAAAUUCAUGAAUUCAAUAACGCAUCGAUCUUUUUUUCCUAAUACUAUUGAAUAUAAGUAAGAAAAGACCAAUGUGUUAUUGAACUCAUGAAUCGGUACAUAUAUAUGCAUAUAUUCCAAUUUUAUAUAUUCAUAUAUUUUUCCAAUGUAAAAAUAUUUCAAGGGCAAAGAGACAAUGGAAAUAAGAGCCAGGGGUUUGCGGAAUGAUUUCCCUUCCUGAAAUAAUUGGAAAUACAGACUGUUAAUAGUUGACUAAGUACACUAGCAAGUACAAUCAGAUUCUAUAUUCUAAAAAAAGUCAUUACCAUGUAUUUUAAACCCCAAAAUAUUUUAAAACAAUUUCAGUCAUUUGGACUUCCUUAGUAUUUUACAUUAAAGUUUUUAUAUGAAGGGUUUUGUGUGUGUGUGUGUGUGUGUGUGUGUGUGUGUGCGCAUGAACACACAACUGAAUGUGUGUGUAUUUGUAUAUAUGAACAAUUUCUUUAGUAUUUUUUUGGUAUGUUGCAUAUGGCCAGAAAGGACUUUGUUAGCCUCCCUGGCAUGAUAUAAAUGAAUCAUCAGUAUUAGUAAAGAAGAUAAUAAAUACAAAUUUUCUGGUGUCCA
Molecule: long non-coding RNA, 1949 nt
Filed under: Monodelphis domestica (gray short-tailed opossum)
Lineage: Eukaryota; Metazoa; Chordata; Mammalia; Didelphimorphia; Didelphidae
Description: lncRNA (ENSMODG00000048265.1)
Source: RNAcentral